This 3441-nucleotide long non-coding RNA is filed under the name Acanthaster planci (crown-of-thorns starfish). RNAcentral describes it as "uncharacterized LOC110977019". Lineage: Eukaryota; Metazoa; Echinodermata; Asteroidea; Valvatida; Acanthasteridae. The record is from RNAcentral.
CCUGCAGCCCAUCUGGACAAGGAUGACGCAUGGCUACUCACCUCAUCACAGACAACACUAAGGAACCACAGAUUCUUCAAGGCACACAUCAUCAGCAGAUAAGAGGACGGCGAACUACAGCUGCUGAAUAUAAUCACAUCCGUGUCUUACUGAAAAUAGUGCUUUUGCUGUGUUGUACUUAAGAACAGUGGCACACCCACGAUUUAUCAUGCGGGCUUAGACCAGAAUUUACCUCCAAAUAGCUCAAGAUGCUAAAACCCCUCCCCUGUUUCUCCAUAGAGGACUGGGAUGUAUGUAUGGCUAUCUAUCAGAGCUGAUAUUUUGAAGUUAAGGCGUAUACUGCAUCUUUGUUUUUCAAAAAAAAGGAAAAAAAGAAAACCUAAAGGGCUCCCCAAGGUACAUCCCCCCCAGCUUGGGUGUGACACUGUUUAUGAAUGGUCCUUAGUAUACAAAUAGUGAGUGCUUCUUCACUCCUGUAGUGGAAGGAAUAGUUAUGAGAUGACAGGUGGAAUAUUCUCUUCCAGAAGGUGAAGCCGAAUAUUCCAUUUCAUCUCGUAAAAAAUGAUCCAUUCUGUUGCAGGAAUGUGAAACAUUCACAGCUGUAUAUUCAACGACUGAAUAAAACCUGGCAAAAAUCCCCUCAUCACAUAAAAAAAUUAAUAUAAAUUCCUUUCAAACAAAUCUGCAUAACUUUUGUGAUCACGCCAUGAAUGAUAUGAACAUGAAAUUAUGGCAGGUAGAAUGUUGAUCGAUCCAUUCCUAAACAUGGCCAGGUAGAUUAUUCAGUCGUUAAUUAACACAGAUGAUUCACAAUGCAGUUUACCACCCAAAGGUUGUCAUGGAGAGGCAUUUUUCAUGGUGUAUUAUGGGAUGAAUAGUCCACAAAAUCUCAUUCACUAACUGAGCUGUGCAAGGAAAACUUGAUUUUUUUUCGAAUGUUUGUUUAUCAUCGUCUUGAUUGAAAAUUCAAAAUUCCUUAUUGUGAAUAGAUGUUAGGUCGUCAAAAUGAUAGUUUUGUGGGUGCAGAAAACGCCUCAAUCAACUAUCCCCAAAUUACAUAUAAAAUGCACUUAAUCAUGGCUGCGUGUCGACCUUCAACUUGAAAGUGGCCUGUCCAUGGUCAACUCUUGGUGGCGCACUGUAUUGGAAAUCGCCUGUAUUAUUUAAUACUUAAUCAUAUUAUUACAAGUAAAAAUCUGUUCAAUACUGGGAAAUUUCUGAAAUUUGUCAAAAUUUGAUAAUGUCAUGAGGUGGUUAUUAUAAGAUAAAGGCCUUUCGAGAAGUCUUCAAUUUUUUUCACAUACCCAUCUUUAUGUGAAAGGCACAGCUGAUUAGAAACCACUUCACUAAUCACAAGUAACUGCUUGUUUCUUGUUGGGUAUCCAAAUGAUACAUUGGCUCCUUGGAAAUCCCAUGUCGGGAAAUAUACAGAUAGCAGACAUUUAUUUAGCCAAGAUAAUUGUAUUUGUAACAUUGUAAAUGUAGAUUUAGCUUAGAAAGCUUUCUUGAUCUCCUGUAAGGUUUUUAUUUAUGCACACAGAAAUUGACUACCUAAUUAAAAGAAGGGCCCAACUCCAACAAAACCUUUUUUGAGUUUAAAAAUAUUCAUUUCAUUUUCUAUUGAAGGAGUUCCAAACGAGACCAACUAACUCUCCUAGGCCAAAAUGUUGGAGUUGGGUCUUUCACUUUCAAAAUGAUUGGAGAGUAUUGCCAAAAUGAAACAAAUACACUACUCAAGAAAAGUUAUGGACUUUUUAUUUUGUCAUUUGACUUUUCCCUGAAACUUCCAUUUUGAGAAUGUGCAUUUGAUGUUUUGAAACAUUUUUAAAUGUUUAAUUCCAAUGAGAAGACCAUCUAGAUAAACAAAAAUGAAAGAACUAGACCCCACUCAUUGCUUGGAAAAAAAAUUACAAGUUCAGAAAAAGUGGUCCUUAACUUUUUUUAGUAGCAUAAUUUUAUCUUCUUUCUUGUCAUUCUAUUCGUUUGGUUGUCAUGUCAGGGAACAAGUUAACACAUGACUUAAAAUAACUGCAAAAUAAAGCUAUUAUUUUAAUGAGACGUACACAUGUUAAUUAAGUGAUUUUUAAACUUUCCUCUCAACAUGUUUAACUGCCUUCAUUUUCUACAGAAAAUGUUCCAAAUUUUGUUUUAAAAAUGUAAAAAUCAGUUCCUCAAAGAAGAGAGGGAAUAGUCUCUUUAUUCACAACAAGCAUGGGUUAUUCUGAUGUCGGAAAUGACUUUUCUCCAUAAAGUUAAAGGAGGUGCUUGGCUUUCAGAAUCUAAAAGAUAACAAGUUUGAAGAGUUUGGAAUUUUUGAUAAGUUUAGGGGCAUUAAUGACUCGGAGGGAUUCAUAACGUUUGUUACCAUGAGAAAAAAAUUUAAGGUUAGGGAAUCUCCCCCAUACACAGAGUAAAUGUGUUUGCCUGGUGGACUUAAAGCCCUCAAUGAUGCCAUCUGAAAUUUUCAGGAUCCUUUUGGUCUACAUAUUCAUGGAUACACUAAAAUGGGUGAGGACAUUCUAAUUACACGGUGUUCAUCAGUUUGUACAGUAACGCUUGUUUGCAUGAAUUUGCUGAAGCUUGCUCCUAUUAACCGAUUGUUUGUUUUCUUUUGUUCUGCAUGCUGUGUUAUGAUGUAUUAAAUUACUGACUGGUUGGUUUGCUUCAAACUGGCAAAAGGAUAAACACCGUGUGUUCUGAAUGUUGCAAUGAUGCAUUUGAAGAACCCAGGAUUGAAAGAAAACAUUUGUGGGUUAAAACAAGGAUGUACAAAAUAGUCAAAAGCAAUCUUUCAUUUGAACGGUGGCCGGGGGGGUAUCCCUGUACUUUGUAUCUUUCUACAAAUUUCUGUUUUCGCUAAAAGUUAAAAAUAAAGUUGACAGCUGUAUCCUGGUUGUAGGUCACAAGCAGCUCAACAUUAAUGGCACCCUUCAAAAUUAGAAAAUAAAGCAGUAAAUUUGGUAGCCCAAAAUUCGUAAUAUCACUUCCCAAAGAAAUUUUCUCCCAAAAUUUAUCUUAACUGAAAGAAAACCCCAAAACAGAAAAUUUAUUCCUAAUUAAAAUGUGUUUUUAACCUAAACUGAUGGAGAAUAUUUGUCCUAGCAAUAAGAUGUCACUUAUCAGAGACCAACAUUCACUGGGUCUAAAUUUGCUCGAUAGGAGAAACCAGCACAUGAUGGAAAUAAAAAAUGUUCACUGGAUUUCUCUGAAGAUCUUGAAAUGUAGGGGUCUUGGGAAACGUUUCAUGGGAGACUGGAUACUCUUAAUUUAACUGCACUUGGUGCAGAAAGAGUGCAUUUUUCAUUGUUAAACUCAAUUAUGUAGUUUUUGCCCAAAAAAUGGUCAAAUUGAACAUUUAUACUGUAACAUUUAUUUGUAGACCAAAACCUUUUGUACAAGAAUAAAUUGUACAGUUAUCAGGCAAACUUUGGAUGCAAAUAA